Non-coding RNA from Schizosaccharomyces pombe (fission yeast), 359 nucleotides. The record is from the annotation of a GenBank genome assembly. NCBI's taxonomy places the organism in Eukaryota, Fungi, Ascomycota, Schizosaccharomycetes, Schizosaccharomycetales, Schizosaccharomycetaceae.
ACACUUGUUCAUGAAAAUGAACAAGAUGUGGUACUAAUUUGUGAAUUGUAUUUCAUUUUUUGUCUGUUGUGGGAUGUCCUCCAUUCCGAUUCGUACCUGGUCAAUACAAGAAUUGCGCUGUAACGAAAGUACUCAUCUAGUACCUAGAAUGAGAAAAGCCGCUUUAAAUUAAUUACAAGUAUUUUCCAAAUAUGUUAAUAUAAAAAGAAGCAAAUCAUCAACAAAAAAAGAUGAGCCUACAGCACCCCGGAUUCCCAUGUUGUCUCCAACCAUAGUACUAACGAGGCCCUCAGACGCUUAACUGCAGUGAUCGGACGGGAACUGGUGUUUUCGCCUAGGUAUGGCCGUAGACGUUUAAA